GACGAACGCUGGCGGCGUGCUUAACACAUGCAAGUCGAACGCUGAAGCACCAGCUUGCUGGUGUGGAUGAGUGGCGAACGGGUGAGUAAUACGUGAGUAACCUGCCCUUGACUCUGGGAUAAGCCCGGGAAACUGGGUCUAAUACUGGAUGCUACAUGUCACCGCAUGGUGGUGUGUGGAAAGGGUUUACUGGUCUUGGAUGGACUCACGGCCUAUCAGCUUGUUGGUGAGGUAAUGGCUCACCAAGGCGACGACGGGUAGCCGGCCUGAGAGGGUGACCGGCCACACUGGGACUGAGACACGGCCCAGACUCCUACGGGAGGCAGCAGUGGGGAAUAUUGCACAAUGGGCGAAAGCCUGAUGCAGCGACGCCGCGUGAGGGAUGACGGCCUUCGGGUUGUAAACCUCUUUCAGCAGGGAAGAAGCCACAAGUGACGGUACCUGCAGAAGAAGCGCCGGCUAACUACGUG
Molecule: ribosomal RNA, 470 nt
Filed under: uncultured bacterium
Lineage: Bacteria
Description: partial 16S ribosomal RNA
Rfam family: Bacterial small subunit ribosomal RNA
Source: RNAcentral